GGGGGAGUAGCUCAGCCUGGUAGAGCGCCUGCAUGGCAUGCAGGAGGUUCGCGGGUUCAAAUCCCGUCUCCUCCA
RNAcentral lists this transfer RNA (75 nucleotides) under Acidimicrobiales bacterium. RNAcentral describes it as "tRNA-Ala". It matches the Rfam family "tRNA". Rfam says of the family: Transfer RNA (tRNA) molecules are approximately 80 nucleotides in length. Their secondary structure includes four short double-helical elements and three loops (D, anti-codon, and T loops). RNAcentral also lists the same sequence under 1 other name. The record is from RNAcentral. Lineage: Bacteria; Bacillati; Actinomycetota; Acidimicrobiia; Acidimicrobiales.